GAUAAAAAAAAUAUUAUUAAUUAAUUUAAAUAUAAAAAAUGUUAAUAAAAAAAAUUUUUAUUUUAUUAUAUAAUUUAGAAAAAUUAAUUUUAAUUAUAGUUUAUUAGUAUUGUGAAAGAAAUAGUUAAUUUAUUUAAAAGAAAAAUUAAAAUUUUGUACCUUGUGUAUCAGGGUUUAUUAAUUAAUAUUAAAAUAUUUUAUAUUCUCGAAUUUAAAAGAGUUAAUUAAAUAUUUAUUUUAAUGUAAAAUAAUUAUUUAUAAUAUUUAAUUAGUAAUGAAAUGUUAUUCGUUUUUAAAUAUAUCUAGUUUUUAAAGAAAAAAAUUUAAUUUUAUUUUUAAUAUAAAAAAAAUUUUUUAAAAAAUUUUUUUUUAUCAAAAGUAAAUUUUUAAAGGGAUAAGCUUUUAAAAAUAAUAUUAUAAUUUAUUAAAAUAUAAAAUAAUUUAUAGGAUUAAAAAUUUUUAUAUAUAAAAGUUUGUUAUAAUUUAUUAUUAAAUAAAUAAUAUUUUUAUUAAAUUUAAUUAUUUUAUUUAAAUAAAUUUUUUAAUUUUUAAAAAAUAGUAAUGAUGAUAAAAUUAGUAUAUAUUAUUUUUAGAAUAUUUAUUAUAAAUAAAAGGUAAAUUUAAGGAACUCGGCAAAUUUUUUAUUUACCUGUUUAUUAAAAACAUGUCCUUUUGAUAAUAAUUUAAGGUCUAAUCUGCCCACUGAAAUUUUUAAAUGGCCGCAGUAUUUUGACUGUGCUAAGGUAGCAUAAUAAUUAGUUUUUUAAUUGAAAGCUGGUAUGAAUGAUUGGAUAAGAUAAAAACUGUCUCAAAUUUAAUUUAUUAGAAUUUUAUUUUUAAGUUAAAAAGCUUAAAUAUUUUUAAAAGACGAGAAGACCCUAUAGAGUUUAAUAUUAUUUUAUAAAUUUUAUUUAUUAUAUAAAAAAUAUAUUUAAAACAAUAAUAUUUUGUUGGGGUGACAAAAAAAUUUAAUUAACUUUUUUUUAAUAAAAACAAUUAUAAUUGAAUAAUUGAUCCAUUUUUUAUGAUUAUAAGAUUAAAUUACCUUAGGGAUAACAGCGUAAUUUUUUUUUAGAGUUCAAAUCGAAAAAAAAGAUUGCGACCUCGAUGUUGGAUUAAAGUUAAUUU
Molecule: ribosomal RNA, 1128 nt
Filed under: Hypattalus sp. NLG-2013
Lineage: Eukaryota; Metazoa; Arthropoda; Insecta; Coleoptera; Melyridae
Description: partial 16S ribosomal RNA
Source: RNAcentral